Non-coding RNA from Araneus ventricosus, 74 nucleotides. The record is from the annotation of a GenBank genome assembly. NCBI's taxonomy places the organism in Eukaryota, Metazoa, Arthropoda, Arachnida, Araneae, Araneidae.
AGGGUCGGCCGGGAGUUGAACCCGGGAACUCUCGCACCCAGGGCGAGAGAAUCAUACCCCUAGACCACCGAGCC